This 253-nucleotide ribosomal RNA is filed under the name uncultured bacterium. RNAcentral's name for it is "partial 16S ribosomal RNA". It matches the Rfam family "Bacterial small subunit ribosomal RNA", at positions 524 to 776 of the family's 1533-position model. The record is from RNAcentral.
UACGUAGGUGGCAAGCGUUAUCCGGAUUUACUGGGUGUAAAGGGCGUGUAGGCGGGGACGCAAGUCAGAUGUGAAAACCACGGGCUCAACCUGUGGCCUGCAUUUGAAACUGUGUUUCUUGAGUACUGGAGAGGCAGACGGAAUUCCUAGUGUAGCGGUGAAAUGCGUAGAUAUUAGGAGGAACACCAGUGGCGAAGGCGGUCUGUUGGACAGCAACUGACGCUGAGGCGCGAAAGCGUGGGGAGCAAACAGG